CUACGGGUCGCUGCAGUGGGGAAUAUUGCGCAAUGGGGGAAACCCUGACGCAGCAACGCCGCGUGAGUGAGGAAGGCCUUCGGGUUGUAAAGCUCUGUUGGACGGGAAAAAUGGUCAUUGGUCUAAUAGGCCAGUGAAUUGAUGGUACCGUCAGAGGAAGCACCGGCUAACUUCGUGCCAGCAGCCGCGGUAAUACGAAGGGUGCAAGCGUUACUUGGAUUUACUGGGCGUAAAGCGCGCGCAGGCGGAUUGGCAAGUCAGGUGUGAAAUCUCGGGGCUCAACUCCGAAAUUGCGCCUGAAACUAUCGAUCUAGAGUCUUGGCGGGGGAGGUGGAAUAUCGCAUGUAGGGGUAAAAUCCGUAGAGAUGCGAUGGAACACCAGAGGCGAAGGCGACCUCCUGGACAAGUACUGACGCUGAGGCGCGAAAGCGUGGGGAGCAAACAGGAUUAGAUACCCGGGUAGUC
RNAcentral lists this ribosomal RNA (465 nucleotides) under uncultured bacterium. RNAcentral's name for it is "partial 16S ribosomal RNA". It matches the Rfam family "Bacterial small subunit ribosomal RNA", at positions 339 to 795 of the family's 1533-position model. The record is from RNAcentral.